RNAcentral lists this unclassified non-coding RNA (167 nucleotides) under Lingula anatina. RNAcentral describes it as "uncharacterized LOC106156474, transcript variant X3". Lineage: Eukaryota; Metazoa; Brachiopoda; Lingulata; Lingulida; Lingulidae. The record is from RNAcentral.
UUUGUCAUUUUAGUCGGAGAUCUCUACUGAUAGACAUCGCCGGUGUAAACAUUCAAAUCAAUACCGCAAAUAGAAAAUGGUGUUCCACUUGAUGAUCGUGGGCCUGUGUCUUGUCUCCAUGGCAACAAACAUUUAUUGUGGUCGUAGGGAUGCCAAAAAGCCGCCCC